Molecule: ribosomal RNA, 252 nt
Filed under: uncultured bacterium
Lineage: Bacteria
Description: partial 16S ribosomal RNA
Rfam family: Bacterial small subunit ribosomal RNA
Source: RNAcentral
UACGGAGGAUGCGAGCGUUGUCCGGAUUUACUGGGUUUAAAGGAUGCGUAGGCGGGCGAUUAAGUGAGAAUUGAAAGGCAGUCGCUCAACGAUUGUAAGGUUCUCAUACUGGUUGUCUUGAGAGUAGUGGAGGCAGAUGGAAUGAGUGGAGUAGCGGUGAAAUGCAUAGAUACCACUUGGAACACCGAUUGCGAAGGCAGUCUGCUACGCUAUAUCUGACGCUGAGGCACGAAAGCGUGGGGAGCAAACAGG